This 43-nucleotide transfer RNA is filed under the name Epiperipatus biolleyi. RNAcentral describes it as "tRNA-Leu". The record is from RNAcentral. Lineage: Eukaryota; Metazoa; Onychophora; Udeonychophora; Euonychophora; Peripatidae.
AACCAAAUGACAGAAAAAUGUAACGAAUUUAAGUUUCGUAAAU